UACGUAGGGGGCAAGCGUUGUCCGGAUUUAUUGGGCGUAAAGAGCGUGUAGGCGGCCAGGUAGGUCUGCUGUGAAAACUCGAGGCUUAACCUCGAGAUGUCGGCGGAAACCAUCUAGCUAGAGUCCGGAAGAGGAGAAUGGAAUUCCCGGUGUAGCGGUGAAAUGCGCAGAUAUCGGGAAGAACACCCGUGGCGAAGGCGGUUCUCUGGGACGGUACUGACGCUGAGACGCGAAAGCGUGGGGAGCGAACAGG
This 253-nucleotide ribosomal RNA is filed under the name uncultured bacterium. RNAcentral describes it as "partial 16S ribosomal RNA". It matches the Rfam family "Bacterial small subunit ribosomal RNA", at positions 524 to 776 of the family's 1533-position model. The record is from RNAcentral.